RNAcentral lists this ribosomal RNA (507 nucleotides) under uncultured Alphaproteobacteria bacterium. RNAcentral describes it as "bacterial SSU rRNA". It matches the Rfam family "Bacterial small subunit ribosomal RNA", at positions 340 to 868 of the family's 1533-position model. The record is from RNAcentral. Lineage: Bacteria; Pseudomonadati; Pseudomonadota; Alphaproteobacteria.
UACGGGAGGCAGCAGUGGGGAAUCUUGCACAAUGGAGGAAACUCUGAUGCAGCGAUGCCGCGUGAGUGAAGAAGGCCUUUGGGUUGUAAAGCUCUUUUGUAGGGGAAGAUAAUGACUGUACCCUAAGAAUAAGGUCCGGCUAACUUCGUGCCAGCAGCCGCGGUAAUACGAAGGGACCUAGCGUAGUUCGGAAUUACUGGGCGUAAAGCGCGCGUAGGCCGUUGAGUUAGUUAAUUGUGAAAUCCCAAAGCUUAACUUUGGAACUGCAAUUAAAACUGCUCGACUAGAGUUUGAUAGAGGAAAGCGGAAUACAUAGUGUAGAGGUGAAAUUCGUAGAUAUUAUGUAGAACACCAGUUGCGAAGGCGGCUUUCUGGAUCAACACUGACGCUGAGGCGCGAAAGUAUGGGUAGCAAAGAGGAUUAGAUACCCUCGUAGUCCAUACCAUAAACGAUGAUUGCUAGAUGUUGGAAAUUUAUUUUCAGUAUCGCAGCUAACGCAUAAGCAUC